GGAUCAUUACAGAGUUAUCUAACUCCCAAACCCAAUGUGAACCUACCUAUGUUGCCUCGGCGGGAGAAGCCUACCCGGUACCUACCCUGUAGCUACAGGGAACUACCCUGUAGUUGAUGGCGGACCCGCCGGUGGACAUUUUAAAAACUCUUGUUCUACUGUGAUACUCUGAGUAAUAAACUAAAUAAGUUAAAACUUUCAACAACGGAUCUCUUGGUUCUGGCAUCGAUGAAGAACGCAGCGAAAUGCGAUAAGUAAUGUGAAUUGCAGAAUUCAGUGAAUCAUCGAAUCUUUGAACGCACAUUGCGCCCAUUAGUAUUCUAGUGGGCAUGCCUGUUCGAGCGUCAUUUCAACCCUUAAGCCUUAGUUGCUUAGCGUUGGGAGGUUGCCUCUCGCAACUCCCUAAAAUCAGUGGCAAGGACCACGACACCUUGAAGUGUAGUAGUUUAAUUCUCACUUUGGAGGACCGUAGCCCAGCCAUAAACCAACUAUUUUUAAUUAUUGGUUGACCUCGGAUCAGGUAGGAAUACCCGCUGAACUUAAGCAUAUCAAUAAGCGGAGGAAAAGAAACCAACAGGGAUUGCCCUAGUAACGGCGAGUGAAGCGGCAACAGCUCAAAUUUGAAAUCUGGCCUUCGGGUCCGAGUUGUAAUUUGUAGAGGAUGCUUUUGGUGCGGUACCUUCCGAGUUCCCUGGAACGGGACGCCAUAGAGGGUGAGAGCCCCGUACGGUUGGAUACCUAGCCUCUGUAAAGCUCCUUCGACGAGUCGAGUAGUUUGGGAAUGCUGCUCUAAAUGGGAGGUAAAUUUCUUCUAAAGCUAAAUACCGGCCAGAGACCGAUAGCGCACAAGUAGAGUGAUCGAAAGAUGAAAAGCACUUUGAAAAGAGGGUUAAAUAGCACGUGAAAUUGUUGAAAGGGAAGCGCUUAUGACCAGACUUUUGUCCGGCGGAUCAUCCGGUGUUCUCACCGGUGCACUUCGCCGGGCUGAGGCCAGCAUCGAUUUCCGUAGGGGGAUAAAGACUUCAGGAAAGUAGCUCCCUUCGGGGAGUGUUAUAGCCAGUUGUGUAAUACCCCUAUAGGGAUCGA
Molecule: ribosomal RNA, 1086 nt
Filed under: Creosphaeria sassafras
Lineage: Eukaryota; Fungi; Ascomycota; Sordariomycetes; Xylariales; Xylariaceae
Description: eukaryotic LSU rRNA
Rfam family: Eukaryotic large subunit ribosomal RNA (bases 507-1086)
Source: RNAcentral